UGGGGAAUAUUGCACAAUGGGGGAAACCCUGAUGCAGCGACGCCGCGUGAACGAAGAAGUAUUUCGGUAUGUAAAGUUCUAUCAGCAGGGAAGAUAAUGACGGUACCUGACUAAGAAGCACCGGCUAAAUACGUGCCAGCAGCCGCGGUAAUACGUAUGGUGCAAGCGUUAUCCGGAUUUACUGGGUGUAAAGGGAGCGUAGACGGCAGCGCAAGUCUGAAGUGAAAGCCCGGGGCUCAACCCCGGAAUGGCUUUGGAAACUGCGCGGCUAGAGUACCGGAGGGGUAAGCGGAAUUCCUAGUGUAGCGGUGAAAUGCGUAGAUAUUAGGAGGAACACCAGUGGCGAAGGCGGCUUACUGGACGGUAACUGACGUUGAGGCUCGAAAGCGUGGGGAGCAAAC
RNAcentral lists this ribosomal RNA (401 nucleotides) under uncultured Lachnospiraceae bacterium. RNAcentral describes it as "bacterial SSU rRNA". It matches the Rfam family "Bacterial small subunit ribosomal RNA", at positions 355 to 773 of the family's 1533-position model. Lineage: Bacteria; Bacillati; Bacillota; Clostridia; Lachnospirales; Lachnospiraceae. The record is from RNAcentral.